AUGGUCAGGGAGGGAGCUUCUUGCAGCGUCUACAAAGGGAAGCUCAGGGACGGGUCACAGGUUGCCGUCAAACGUGCCAGGAAGUUAAACGGUCAGUAUCUAUCUGCUGAACUUAGCAGGGAGCUCGAAACGCUUCAGAAGAUCGAGCACCAGAAUUUGGUGAGGUUCAUCGGGUUCUUCGGGCAGAGAGAUGAAACUCUAAUUGUUACAGAGUACGUCGACAAUGGCUCCUUAAGAGAACACUUGGAUGAAUCGCGUGGAACCGGGUUAGAACUUGCGCAGCGGCUCAACAUCGCGAUCGACGUGGCUCACGCCAUCACCUACCUGCACGAAUACGCAGAACGGGCGGUGAUCCACCGGGACAUCCGGUCGUCGAACGUGCUGCUGACGGGCGCGCUGGCGGCGAAGGUGGCCGGGUUCGGGCUGGCUCGGGUGGCCGGCGACGGCGAGGCGACGCACGUGACGACGCAGGUGGUGGGCACGGCCGGGUACCUGGACCCGGAGUACCUGGGCACGCUCCAGCUCACGGACAAGAGCGACGUCUACUCCUUCGGCGUCCUCCUCGUCGAGCUCGUCACCGGCCGGCCGCCCAUCGAGCGCCGCCGCGGCCUCGAGCCCCGCGCCACCACCAAGUGGGCGCUGCAGAAGUUCCGGGGAGGCGACGCGGUGGUGGCCAUGGACCCGAGGGUGCGGCGGAGCCCGGCGUCGGUGGCGGCCGUGGAGGGGAUGCUCCGGCUGGCCGAGCAGUGCGUCAUGCCGGCGAGGCAGGACCGGCCGUCCAUGCGGCGGUGCAACGAGGCGCUGUGGACCGUGCGAAGGGACUUCCAGCGGAGGCAGGAGCCGCGGCAGGACGGGCCGGCCGCCGCCGGCGGCGCCGGAGACAGGAGCUCCGAGUGGGUUAGCCGAUGA
This 909-nucleotide ribosomal RNA is filed under the name Triticum aestivum (bread wheat). RNAcentral describes it as "partial small subunit ribosomal RNA". Lineage: Eukaryota; Viridiplantae; Streptophyta; Magnoliopsida; Poales; Poaceae. The record is from RNAcentral.